AUUUUGUUACACUGUGAUAAUUCAGAACCUAGUGUUUCAUUAGUAUGGUCUGAAUUAUCUUCCAAUUUAUUUAUCUGGAUAUUUACCUACAUUGAAGUCACUAUCAUAUUUCUGCAUCUUUUUCUUAGAACUAUAAUCUACAAAAUAGUCAUUUCUUCAAACACUCACUGAAUAUACAUUACAGGUGAAAGGUGUAUAAGACAUAGUGCUAUUUCUAGCAGCCUCACAAUGUUUGUCCUGACAGUCCAAUCAGCAUGGAAAAGCAAAACACUUGGACAAAUCAAUUUUAUAUAAUCUGAAUACAGAAGAUAAAUUCAUAAUCUGAACACUUCCAUGAUGGUGAAACAGUGCUGUAAUAAUGUUGGUAGAUAAAGCUUUAUUCUUGGGGCUGGGCUGUGGCUCACUUGCCUAGCAUGCAUGAGGCACUGAGUUUGAUCCCUGGUACCAUAUAC
Molecule: long non-coding RNA, 452 nt
Filed under: Marmota monax (woodchuck)
Lineage: Eukaryota; Metazoa; Chordata; Mammalia; Rodentia; Sciuridae
Source: RNAcentral